GGAGGGGGCCUGCGUCCCAUCAGCUAGUUGGUGAGGUAAUAGCUUACCAAGGCGAUGACGGGUAGGGGACCUGAGAGGGUGGCCCCCCACAAUGGAACUGAAACACGGUCCAUACACCUACGGGUGGCAGCAGUAGGGAAUAUUGGUAAUCUGGGAAACCGGGAACCAGCAACGCCGCGUGCGCGAUGACGGCCUUCGGGUUGUAAAGCGCUUUUUAAAGGGAUGAGGAAGGACAGUACCUUUAGAAUAAGCCUCGGCUAACUACGUGCCAGCAGCCGCGGUAAAACGUAGGAGGCGAGCGUUAUCCGGAUUUACUGGGCGUAAAGCGUGUGUAGGCGGUUUGAUAAGUUGGAUGUGAAAGCUCCCGGCUUAACUGGGAGAGGUCGUUCAAAACUGUCAGACUUGAGAGUGGUAGAGGGAGAUGGAAUUCCGCGUGUAGUGGUGAAAUGCGUAGAUAUGCGGAGGAACACCAGUGGCGAAAGCGGUCUCCUGGCCCACUUCUGACGCUCAGACACGAAAGCUAAGGUAGCAAACGGGAUUAGAGACCCCGGUAGUCUUAGCUGUAAACGAUGUUGACUUAGUGUCGGUGGGGUUAAAUCCAUCGGUACUGUAGCUAACGCGAUAA
Molecule: ribosomal RNA, 625 nt
Filed under: uncultured bacterium
Lineage: Bacteria
Description: bacterial SSU rRNA
Rfam family: Bacterial small subunit ribosomal RNA
Source: RNAcentral